AAUUGAACAACGCAAAUUCAACGUCCACGCCCCCCAACGUCCAGUAUCGGCCUGAGGCGCGCACGUCUUUCUUCGGGAGGGCGUCGCAUGCGCCCACGACGGCCGGGCACGCGACUUUUCGCGGGGGCUCAGGACGGAGAGGGAUGAAGUUUCUUUCAGCGAGCAAUCUUGGGUGCGGUGCUCCUCGGGCCUCGUGCCGACGUGAGGAGGAUCGCAAUGAUUGAGCGUACAU
RNAcentral lists this small RNA (232 nucleotides) under Hirsutella minnesotensis 3608. Its description in RNAcentral is "A. fumigatus sRNA Afu_182". It matches the Rfam family "A. fumigatus sRNA Afu_182". The record is from Rfam by way of RNAcentral. Lineage: Eukaryota; Fungi; Ascomycota; Sordariomycetes; Hypocreales; Ophiocordycipitaceae.